GACGAACGCUGGCGGCGUGCUUAGCACAUGCAAGUCGAACGGGCCCGCUCUCUUUUUUGGGGGUGGGUUGAGUGGCGAACGGGUGAGUAUCACGUGAGUAACCUGCCCCCUGCUCCUGGAUAACUGCUUGAAAGGGCGGCUAAUACGGGGUGUGCCGGCUGGUCCGCAUGGGCCUGGUCGGGAUAGUUUCAUCUUCGGGUGUUUCGGUGGGGGAUGGGCUCGCGGCCUAUCAGCUUGUUGGUGGGGUGAUGGCCCACCAAGGCGGUGACGGGUAGCCGGCCUGAGAGGGUGGGCGGCCACACUGGGACUGAGACACGGCCCAGACUCCUGCGGGAGGCAGCAGUGGGGGGUAUUGCACAAUGGGCGGAAGCCUGAUGCAGCGACGUCGCGUGAGGGAUGGAGGCCUUCGGGUUGUGAACCUCUUUCUCCGGUGGUGAAGGCCCUGUCCGUUGCGGCGGGGUUGACGGUAGCCGGGUAUGAAGCGCCGGCUAACUACGUG
This 499-nucleotide ribosomal RNA is filed under the name uncultured bacterium. RNAcentral describes it as "partial 16S ribosomal RNA". It matches the Rfam family "Bacterial small subunit ribosomal RNA", at positions 28 to 507 of the family's 1533-position model. The record is from RNAcentral.